This 77-nucleotide transfer RNA is filed under the name Paramagnetospirillum caucaseum. Its description in RNAcentral is "Magnetospirillum caucaseum tRNA-Arg". It matches the Rfam family "tRNA". Rfam says of the family: Transfer RNA (tRNA) molecules are approximately 80 nucleotides in length. The record is from RNAcentral. Lineage: Bacteria; Pseudomonadati; Pseudomonadota; Alphaproteobacteria; Rhodospirillales; Magnetospirillaceae. RNAcentral also lists the same sequence under 2 other names.
GCAGCCGUAGCUCAGCUGGAUAGAGCGCUGCCCUCCGAAGGCAGAGGUCUUGAGUUCGAAUCUCAACGGUUGCGCCA